RNAcentral lists this ribosomal RNA (492 nucleotides) under uncultured bacterium. RNAcentral describes it as "partial 16S ribosomal RNA". It matches the Rfam family "Bacterial small subunit ribosomal RNA", at positions 29 to 507 of the family's 1533-position model. The record is from RNAcentral.
AGUGAACGCUGGCGGUAGGCCUAACACAUGCAAGUCGAACGGCAGCACAGUAAGAGCUUGCUCUUACGGGUGGCGAGUGGCGGACGGGUGAGGAAUACAUCGGAAUCUACUUUUUCGUGGGGGAUAACGUAGGGAAACUUACGCUAAUACCGCAUACGACCUACGGGUGAAAGCAGGGGAUCUUCGGACCUUGCGCGAUUGAAUGAGCCGAUGUCGGAUUAGCUAGUUGGCGGGGUAAAGGCCCACCAAGGCGACGAUCCGUAGCUGGUCUGAGAGGAUGAUCAGCCACACUGGAACUGAGACACGGUCCAGACUCCUACGGGAGGCAGCAGUGGGGAAUAUUGGACAAAAGGCGCAAGCCUGAUCCAGCCAUACCGCGUGGGUGAAGAAGGCCUUCGGGUUGUAAAGCCCUUUUGUUGGGAAAGAAAAGCAGCAGGUUUAUACCCCGCUGUUCUGACGGUACCCAAAGAAUAAGCACCGGCUAACUUCGUG